Molecule: ribosomal RNA, 441 nt
Filed under: uncultured bacterium
Lineage: Bacteria
Description: partial 16S ribosomal RNA
Rfam family: Bacterial small subunit ribosomal RNA
Source: RNAcentral
CCUACGGGAGGCAGCAGUGGGGGAUAUUGCACAAUGGGCGGAACCCUGAUGCAGCGACGCCGCGUGGGUGAAGGAGUGCUUCGGCAUGUAAAGCCCUAUCGGCAGGGAAGAAGCAAGACGGUACCUGACUAAGAAUCCUCGGCUAACUACGCGCCAGCAGCCGCGGCAAUACGUAGGGGGCAAGCGUUAUUCGGACUCACUGGGUGGAAAGGGAGCGUAGUCGGGCAUGCAAGCCAGGGGUGAAAGCCCGGGGCCCAACCCCGGGACUGCCCUUGGAACUGGGCGGCUUGAGUGCGGGAGGGGCAGGCGGAAUUCCUGGUGGAGCGGUGAAAUGCGUAGAUAUCAGGAGGAACACCGGCGGCGAAGGCGGCCUGCUGGACUGCGACUGACGUUGAGGCUCGAAAGCGUGGGGAGCGAACAGGAUUAGAUACCCGGGUAGUC